GUCUACGGCCAUGCCACCCUGAACGUGCCUGAUCCCGUCUGAUCUUGGAGGCUAAGCAGGGUCAGGCCUGAUUAGUAUUUGGAUGAGAGACCACCUAGGAAUUCCAGGUGCUGUAGGUU
This 119-nucleotide ribosomal RNA is filed under the name Pteropus alecto (black flying fox). Lineage: Eukaryota; Metazoa; Chordata; Mammalia; Chiroptera; Pteropodidae. The record is from RNAcentral.